Molecule: ribosomal RNA, 392 nt
Filed under: uncultured bacterium
Lineage: Bacteria
Description: partial 16S ribosomal RNA
Rfam family: Bacterial small subunit ribosomal RNA
Source: RNAcentral
AUACGGAGGAUGCGAGCGUUAUCCGGAUUUAUUGGGUUUAAAGGGUGCGCAGGCGGCCAUUUAAGUCAGCGGUUAAAUCGUGGGGCUCAACCCCAUUCUGCCGUUGAUACUGGGUGGCUUGAUUGCGGUCGAGGUUGGCGGAAUUCGUUGUGUAGCGGUGAAAUGCAUAGAUAUGACGAAGAACACCGAUUGCGAAGGCAGCUGACCAGACCGCAAAUGACGCUCAUGCACGAAAGUGCGGGGAUCGAACAGGAUUAGAUACCCUGGUAGUCCGCACAGUAAACGAUGAAUACUUGUUUUCGGCGAUAUAAUGUCGGAGGCAAAGCGAAAGCGAUAAGUAUUCCACCUGGGGAGUACGCCGGCAACGGUGAAACUCAAAUGAAUUGACGGGG